Molecule: ribosomal RNA, 466 nt
Filed under: uncultured bacterium
Lineage: Bacteria
Description: SSU rRNA
Rfam family: Bacterial small subunit ribosomal RNA
Source: RNAcentral
AGGACGAACGCUGGCGGCGUGCUUAACACAUGCAAGUCACGGGGGCCCGCAAGGGUAACCGGCGAACGGGUGCGUAACACGUGAACAACCUGCCCUCGUGUGGGGGAUAGCCGGGCUAACGCCCGGGUAAUACCGCAUACGGUCAUCGAGAGGAGUCUCUUGGUGAAGAAAGCUCCGGCGCACGGGGAGGGGUUCGCGGCCUAUCAGCUAGUUGGCGGGGUAAUGGCCCACCAAGGCGACGACGGGUAGCUGGUCUGAGAGGAUGGUCAGCCGGACUGGGACUGAGAUACGGCCCAGACUCCUACGGGGGGCAGCAAUUAGGAAUCUUGCGCAAUGGGGGCAACCCUGACGCAGCGACGCCGCGUGGAGGAUGACGGCCUUCGGGUUGUAAACUCCUUUUAUCGGGGAAGAAACAAAUGACGGUACCCGAUGAAUAAGCCCGGCUAACUCCGCGCCAGCACGCCGC